RNAcentral lists this ribosomal RNA (108 nucleotides) under Bacteroides fragilis. RNAcentral also lists the same sequence under 70 other names. Lineage: Bacteria; Pseudomonadati; Bacteroidota; Bacteroidia; Bacteroidales; Bacteroidaceae. The record is from RNAcentral.
GGUGACUAUAGCAUCAGGGUUCCACCUCUUCCCAUUCCGAACAGAGAAGUUAAGCCUGAUCACGCCGAUGGUACUGCGUAACAGUGGGAGAGUAGGUAGUCGCCGUUU